RNAcentral lists this ribosomal RNA (328 nucleotides) under Diastylis edwardsii. RNAcentral's name for it is "partial small subunit ribosomal RNA". The record is from RNAcentral. Lineage: Eukaryota; Metazoa; Arthropoda; Malacostraca; Cumacea; Diastylidae.
AAAAUCAAACCCAAAGAAUUUGGCGGUCUUUAAACCAAAUAAGAGGAAUUUGCUUCAAAAACGAUGAUACACGAAAAACCCCACUAAAUUUAACAAAUUGUCUGUAUACCGCCAUCUUAAAAAUGUCUAUAGCAUUUUUCAAAAAAAUGAAUCUUAUAUGUUAGGUCAAGGUGCAACUAAUAAUUAAGUAGAAGUUAGUUACAAUCUUUUUUAAGUAUAGAGAUAAACUGAAAAUAAUUUAAAAGAGGAUUUUAAAGUAACAAAAUUUUAAUACGAUGUAGUGACUAGUGAUCUUAAAUAUGCACAUAUCGCCCGUCGCUCGCGGGAA